UGCGGAAGGAUCAUUGUCG
RNAcentral lists this ribosomal RNA (19 nucleotides) under Paliurus spina-christi. RNAcentral's name for it is "partial 18S ribosomal RNA". The record is from RNAcentral. Lineage: Eukaryota; Viridiplantae; Streptophyta; Magnoliopsida; Rosales; Rhamnaceae. RNAcentral also lists the same sequence under 3 other names.